AACGAACGCUGGCGGCAUGCCUAACACAUGCAAGUCGAACGAACCCUUCGGGGUUAGUGGCGCACGGGUGCGUAACGCGUGGGAAUCUGCCCUUUGCUUCGGAAUAACUCAGGGAAACUUGUGCUAAUACCGGAUGAUGUCUUCGGACCAAAGAUUUAUCGGCAAGGGAUGAGCCCGCGUAGGAUUAGGUAGUUGGUGGGGUAAAGGCCUACCAAGCCGACGAUCCUUAGCUGGUCUGAGAGGAUGAUCAGCCACACUGGGACUGAGACACGGCCCAGACUCCUACGGGAGGCAGCAGUGGGGAAUAUUGGACAAUGGGCGCAAGCCUGAUCCAGCAAUGCCGCGUGAGUGAUGAAGGCCCUCGGGUCGUAAAGCUCUUUUACCAGGGAUGAUAAUGACAGUACCUGGAGAAGAAGCUCCGGCUAACUCCGUG
RNAcentral lists this ribosomal RNA (433 nucleotides) under uncultured bacterium. RNAcentral's name for it is "partial 16S ribosomal RNA". It matches the Rfam family "Bacterial small subunit ribosomal RNA", at positions 29 to 507 of the family's 1533-position model. The record is from RNAcentral.